UCAUCUAAUUGACAUGAUCACGAAGUUGGAAUUGGUGGUGGAAUUAAAACAACAGAUUUGCGAGGAAGAGCAUUAAGUAAAUACUCGGGGAAAAGGUGACUGUUGUGGCGCAUGAAGUGGCAGAAAUUAACUGCGUUAUUUUAGUUGAUAGAUCUUUAAGUGACAGUUAUCAUAAAAGCCAACAUGUUCGAGUAAGUGUCUUUGAGUAUGUUUCACUCAUAUGAUAAUACUUUAUGCUACUUUGUGCCAAUUUAUUUACAUGGACUAACUUUUAUAAAUUAUUCAACAUCUUGUAGAACUGAUGGUCUACCGUGUUAGAUAUAUAGCGUGAAGAGGCAUUGUGAUCACCAAGGACGAAUGGUAUCCAUUAACAAGGAUGGGGUCUCUCGACUGAAGAUUAAUAAAUAUUACAUUUAUUAGUUUUUUUAGUUAGAGUUUUCUAGUACAUUGGUCAUCGAGUGAGUGUUGCUGACUCAUAUUUCUUAACUGUAUUGUAAUUCCAGAAUUGUAUGUGGUAAUAUGUUUAGGUUAUCUGAUAUCUAUCAAUAAAAUGAGGCUAUGGCCUUUCAUUAUUCAGAUAUUUGUUGUUGUAAAAUUGAUGUGGAUGCCAAUCUUCAA
This 618-nucleotide long non-coding RNA is filed under the name Triticum aestivum (bread wheat). Its description in RNAcentral is "long non-coding RNA (TAES_LNC017060)". Lineage: Eukaryota; Viridiplantae; Streptophyta; Magnoliopsida; Poales; Poaceae. The record is from RNAcentral.